UAAUGUUUUUUGUUGUCAAAAAUAGUUCUCGAAGGAAAAACUAAUUGCCCAAAUCCAAUUGGAAUGUUGAUCAAAAAAAAAAACGAAGAAGAAAAAGCAAAUACACAAUAAAAUAUCUGGGUAAAAAUCAAUAUAGUAGCCCAAAACAAUGAAAUAAGGUCAAAGCCCAAACCACUCAGUUGUAAUAAGUCAAAACCGAAGACCAAAAAGCAAUUGCUUCAAUCUUCUAAAUCCUUCGCUUAAGUCUAUCCUUCACCAAAAACAAACUCUCAUGGAAAGCUCUUUGGAGACUCAUCCUUCACAGGACACCACUACACAUCAAAUGACCGGAGAGGCUUUUCUGCUAAAGAAGCUUCAAAGCAAGAUAACAAAGAGACUUCAUUUUGCCAUGUCUACCUCACCGUAAAACUUGACUUCAACCAGAUCAUUCAAGUAAAAGAUGCCAUAGCACGAAACGAUUAAACAUGAUUAUUUGAUUAAUAGUUUUGGGUGAAAAGUAAUAAUCUCAUUGUCUUGACUGGACAGUAAAUGUUGAUGCUAAAAACACAAGCAAGCUAAACUUUUCUUCUUUUUCAUUUUCAGCAAAAAUCGAUCAGAAAAAAUGUAUGCCUACUUAUAUAAUUUCACACCGAUAAGUAAGCAAUCUUGGACCUCUUAGUUUAGUGAUCUCCAUUUGGGACGCCAUAUGAAUUCAUAUUUUUAAAA
This is a long non-coding RNA of Brassica napus (rape), 705 nucleotides long. RefSeq lists it as uncharacterized. The transcript has 2 exons. Lineage: Eukaryota; Viridiplantae; Streptophyta; Magnoliopsida; Brassicales; Brassicaceae. The record is from RefSeq and is a predicted model, not a curated record.